Molecule: long non-coding RNA, 866 nt
Organism: Homo sapiens (human)
Lineage: Eukaryota; Metazoa; Chordata; Mammalia; Primates; Hominidae
Exons: 2
Source: RefSeq, a predicted model, not a curated record
CUCAAGUGAUCCGCCCACCUUGACCUCCCAAAGUGCUGGGAUCAUAGGCGUGAGCCACCGUGCCCAGCCCUGAUAUAAUUUUUUGACUGUGCAUGGGAAAAGGUGGUGGAAAAAAGGGAAAUGAGAAAUCAGGAAUUUGAGAUUAUUAAACUGUGUGACUAACCAUCACCUCCCAUAACUGCAGUCCUGUAAUGUUCUGUUUUGACGCUGUGUAUUCCUCAUUUUGGCAACCUCAUCUUCAAGGAAAUCACUCAAAAAGCUGACUGGCAGGCUGGCUGGCCAGAGUAGAAGAGCUGUUUAUUAUCGGGAUGGCAAUGUACAAAGCGAGCUGCCCCAGGGUGCAUUCCUUUCAGCUUUAUUGAAAGCCAGUUUCUACAGGUAUCUCUCUGGUGAAAAGGCAGUCCUUCUUUUGAAGACACCAGCUCGAGUGCCAGAUAGAGCUCGGAAUAAAGCACUUGGCAUUGCUCAUUCCUGCAGAUAAUGGCCUUAAUGCAUUGGGAAAAGCAGCUUGGGACCAAUGCUGUGGUGAGUCAGUCAACAGGGUCAUCUCCACACAGGAAGGACAGGAAAGAGGCUCACAAUCGCAGCAGGGGCUGGGCCUGGAGAAGGUAUUCUGUGGCAAGUUGGAUUUUCUCACAGCACCGAUACAGUAGCCACUGUAGACGUGGAGGUGUUCAUGCAAACAAGAAAAUGAAAGAACUAAAGUGCAACCAUGGGAUCAAGAAAACAGAGAAUCCAGCACAAAAGAGAAGAGACGGGAAGUCCUGAGACAACAGCUGUGGGUGGCUCUGGACAGGAGCCAGGCUGACCUGGAGUGGGAGGACUGAGGACAGAAGGUUUAUUUCCAAUAAAAUAUGAAACUAAUA